UUGAACGCUGGCGGCAUGCUUUACACAUGCAAGUCGCACGGCAGCGGGGAGGAGCUUGCUUCUCUGCCGGCGAGUGGCGAACGGGUGAGUAAUACAUCGGAACGUGUCGAGAAGAGGGGGAUAACCACCCGAAAGGGUGGCUAAUACCGCAUAAAUUCUGAGGAAGAAAGCUGGGGACCUGGGAAUAGGCCUAGCGCUUUUUGAGCGGCCGAUGUCGGAUUAGCUAGUUGGUGAGGUAAAGGCUCACCAAGGCGAAGAUCUGUAGCGAGUCUGAGAGGAUGAUCCGCCACACUGGGACUGAGACACGGCCCAGACUCCUACGGGAGGCAGCAGUGGGGAAUUUUGGACAAAGGGGGCAACCCUGAUCCAGCCAUGCCGCGUGUAUGAAGAAGGCCUUAGGGUUGUAAAGUACUUUUGUUAGGGAAGAAAAGUCAGCUGUGAAUAAUGGCUGAUACUGACGGUACCUAAAGAAUAAGCACCGGCUAACUACGUG
This 493-nucleotide ribosomal RNA is filed under the name uncultured bacterium. RNAcentral describes it as "partial 16S ribosomal RNA". It matches the Rfam family "Bacterial small subunit ribosomal RNA", at positions 30 to 507 of the family's 1533-position model. The record is from RNAcentral.